GUCUACAGCCAUGCCACCCUGAACAAACCGGAUCCUGUCUGAUCUCGGAAGCUAAGCAGGGUUGGGCCUGGUUAGUACUUGGAUAGGAGACCACCUCGGAAGACCGGGCGCUGUAGGCA
Molecule: ribosomal RNA, 119 nt
Filed under: Pteropus alecto (black flying fox)
Lineage: Eukaryota; Metazoa; Chordata; Mammalia; Chiroptera; Pteropodidae
Source: RNAcentral